This 465-nucleotide ribosomal RNA is filed under the name Vreelandella stevensii. RNAcentral's name for it is "partial 16S ribosomal RNA". It matches the Rfam family "Bacterial small subunit ribosomal RNA", at positions 338 to 795 of the family's 1533-position model. Lineage: Bacteria; Pseudomonadati; Pseudomonadota; Gammaproteobacteria; Oceanospirillales; Halomonadaceae. The record is from RNAcentral.
CCUACGGGUGGCUGCAGUGGGGAAUAUUGGACAAUGGGCGAAAGCCUGAUCCAGCCAUGCCGCGUGUGUGAAGAAGGCCUUCUGGUUGUAAAGCACUUUCAGUGGGGAAGAAAGCCUUGGGGCUAAUACCCUCGAGGAAGGACAUCACCCACAGAAGAAGCACCGGCUAACUCCGUGCCAGCAGCCGCGGUAAUACGGAGGGUGCGAGCGUUAAUCGGAAUUACUGGGCGUAAAGCGCGCGUAGGCGGUCUGAUAAGCCGGUUGUGAAAGCCCCGGGCUCAACCUGGGAACGGCAUCCGGAACUGUCAGGCUAGAGUGCAGGAGAGGAAGGUAGAAUUCCCGGUGUAGCGGUGAAAUGCGUAGAGAUCGGGAGGAAUACCAGUGGCGAAGGCGGUCUUCUGGACUGACACUGACGCUGAGGUGCGAAAGCGUGGGUAGCAAACAGGAUUAGAUACCCUGGUAGUC